This 21-nucleotide non-coding RNA is filed under the name Arabidopsis thaliana (thale cress). Lineage: Eukaryota; Viridiplantae; Streptophyta; Magnoliopsida; Brassicales; Brassicaceae. The record is from RNAcentral.
UACCCUACUGAUGCCCGCGUC